UAAGCCGUUGAAGGUGUCCUGUGAGGGGUGCUGGAGGUAUCAGAAGUGCGAAUGCUGACAUAAGUAACGAUAAAGCGGGUGAAAAGCCCGCUCGCCGGAAGACCAAGGGUUCCUGUCCAACGUUAAUCGGGGCAGGGUGAGUCGACCCCUAAGGCGAGGCCGAAAGGCGUAGUCGAUGGGAAACGGGUUAAUAUUCCCGUACUUGGUGUUACUGCGAAGGGGGGACGGAGAAGGCUAUGUUGGCCGGGCGACGGUUGUCCCGGUUUAAGCGUGUAGGUGUGUGUUCCAGGUAAAUCCGGUUCACUUUAACACUGAGGCGUGAUGACGAGGCACCACGGUGCUGAAGCAACAAAUGCCCUGCUUCCAGGAAAAGCCUCUAAGCAUCAGGUAACAUCAAAUCGUACCCCAAACCGACACAGGUGGUCAGGUAGAGAAUACCAAGGCGCUUGAGAGAACUCGGGUGAAGGAACUAGGCAAAAUGGUGCCGUAACUUCGGGAGAAGGCACGCUGACACGUAGGUGAAGUGAUUUACUCAUGGAGCUGAAGUCAGUCGAAGAUACCAGCUGGCUGCAACUGUUUAUUAAAAACACAGCACUGUGCAAACACGAAAGUGGACGUAUACGGUGUGACGCCUGCCCGGUGCCGGAAGGUUAAUUGAUGGGGUCAGCGCAAGCGAAGCUCCUGAUCGAAGCCCCGGUAAACGGCGGCCGUAACUAUAACGGUCCUAAGGUAGCGAAAUUCCUUGUCGGGUAAGUUCCGACCUGCACGAAUGGCGUAAUGAUGGCCAGGCUGUCUCCACCCGAGACUCAGUGAAAUUGAACUCGCUGUGAAGAUGCAGUGUACCCGCGGCAAGACGGAAAGACCCCGUGAACCUUUACUAUAGCUUGACACUGAACAUUGAGCCUUGAUGUGUAGGAUAGGUGGGAGGCUUUGAAGCGUGGACGCCAGUCUGCGUGGAGCCGACCUUGAAAUACCACCCUUUAAUGUUUGAUGUUCUAACGUGGACCCGUAAUCCGGGUUGCGGACAGUGUCUGGUGGGUAGUUUGACUGGGGCGGUCUCCUCCUAAAGAGUAACGGAGGAGCACGAAGGUUGGCUAAUCCUGGUCGGACAUCAGGAGGUUAGUGCAAUGGCAUAAGCCAGCUUGACUGCGAGCGUGACGGCGCGAGCAGGUGCGAAAGCAGGUCAUAGUGAUCCGGUGGUUCUGAAUGGAAGGGCCAUCGCUCAACGGAUAAAAGGUACUCCGGGGAUAACAGGCUGAUACCGCCCAAGAGUUCAUAUCGACGGCGGUGUUUGGCACCUCGAUGUCGGCUCAUCACAUCCUGGGGCUGAAGUAGGUCCCAAGGGUAUGGCUGUUCGCCAUUUAAAGUGGUACGCGAGCUGGGUUUAGAACGUCGUGAGACAGUUCGGUCCCUAUCUGCCGUGGGCGCUGGAAGACUGAGGGGGGCUGCUCCUAGUACGAGAGGACCGGAGUGGACGCAUCACUGGUGUUCGGGUUGUCAUGCCAAUGGCACUGCCCGGUAGCUAAAUGCGGAAAAGAUAAGUGCUGAAAGCAUCUAAGCACGAAACUUGCCCCGAGAUGAGUCUUCCCUGAGACCUUGAGUCUCCUGAAGGAACGUUAAAGACGAUGACGUUGAUAGGCCGGGUGUGUAAGCGCAGCGAUGCGUUGAGCUAACCGGUACUAAUGAACCGUGAGGCUUAACCUUACAACGCCGAAG
This 1716-nucleotide ribosomal RNA is filed under the name Salmonella enterica. RNAcentral's name for it is "partial 23S ribosomal RNA". It matches the Rfam family "Bacterial large subunit ribosomal RNA", at positions 1243 to 2925 of the family's 2925-position model. RNAcentral also lists the same sequence under 2 other names. The record is from RNAcentral. Lineage: Bacteria; Pseudomonadati; Pseudomonadota; Gammaproteobacteria; Enterobacterales; Enterobacteriaceae.